AGUGAACGCUGGCGGUAGGCCUAACACAUGCAAGUCGAACGGCAGCACAGUAAGAGCUUGCUCUUACGGGUGGCGAGUGGCGGACGGGUGAGGAAUACAUCGGAAUCUACUUUUUCGUGGGGGAUAACGUAGGGAAACUUACGCUAAUACCGCAUACGACCUACGGGUGAAAGCAGGGGAUCUUCGGACCUUGCGCGAUUGAAUGAGCCGAUGUCGGAUUAGCUAGUUGGCGGGGUAAGGGCCCACCAAGGCGACGAUCCGUAGCUGGUCUGAGAGGAUGAUCAGCCACACUGUAACUGAGACACGGUCCAGACUCCUACGGGAGGCAGCAGUGGGGAAUAUUGGACAAUGGGCGCAAGCCUGAUCCAGCCAUACCGCGUGGGUGAAGAAGGCCUUCGGGUUGUAAAGCCCUUUUGUUGGGAAAGAAAAGCAGCAGGUUAAUACCCCGCUGUUCUGACGGUACCCAAAGAAUAAGCACCGGCUAACUUCGUG
This 492-nucleotide ribosomal RNA is filed under the name uncultured bacterium. Its description in RNAcentral is "partial 16S ribosomal RNA". It matches the Rfam family "Bacterial small subunit ribosomal RNA", at positions 29 to 507 of the family's 1533-position model. The record is from RNAcentral.